Molecule: long non-coding RNA, 458 nt
Filed under: Pan troglodytes (chimpanzee)
Lineage: Eukaryota; Metazoa; Chordata; Mammalia; Primates; Hominidae
Description: long non-coding RNA NONPTRT007484
Source: RNAcentral
GACCAUUUCCCCAGCAACCACUCCUAGACCAGGAUUAUUGAAGGACUGUUAGACCCCAGCUGACUCUGGAGGCUGCAGAGCUAGCUAUGAUCUGUGCUGGGACUAAAACCUGGGUUCUGACUUCUGGGUGAUAAUAGUUAAGCCUAGAGCCAUGAGAGGCCUGUGCUCCGUGGGACAGGAGGCUAAGAGCGGAACAGGGCCCACUGUUGGAUGCUACUGAUCACCAGACCGUGGCCUUUAUACACAUCAACUUGCUUCAUCUCCACCAGAACAAAUGAAUGACAAAACCAGAUGAAAGACAAAGCCAAAGUAAAUCCCUUCUCAUCUAUGUCACUGCAAAAGAUAUAGUAACAGCAAAAACAAGCUCUAAAAACCUUGUUUGUAAAAGGUUUGGUAAAACUGUUUCUUUAAAGACAUUCCAUCAUUUGGACUUUAAUUUUGCUAGGCUCUCCCUACCC